This 349-nucleotide ribosomal RNA is filed under the name uncultured bacterium. Its description in RNAcentral is "bacterial SSU rRNA". It matches the Rfam family "Bacterial small subunit ribosomal RNA", at positions 1 to 334 of the family's 1533-position model. The record is from RNAcentral.
ACAGAUCGUUCAGAGUUUGAUCCUGGCUACAGGACGAACGGCUGGCGGCGUGCCUAAUACAUGCAAGUAGAACGCUGAAGAGAGGAGCUUGCUCUUCUUGGAUGAGUUGCGAACGGGUGAGUAACGCGUAGGUAACCUGCCUGGUAGCGGGGGAUAACUAUUGGAAACGAUAGCUAAUACCGCAUGAAAUUGAAUAUCGCAUGAUACUUAAUUGAAAGAUGCAACUGCAUCACUACCAGAUGGACCUGCGUUGUAUUAGCUAGUUGGUGAGGUAACGGCUCACCAAGGCGACGAUACAUAGCCGACCUGAGAGGGUGAUCGGCCACACUGGGACUGAGACACGGCCCAG